Long non-coding RNA from Fukomys damarensis (Damara mole-rat), 1057 nucleotides. RefSeq lists it as uncharacterized. The record is from RefSeq and is a predicted model, not a curated record. The transcript is spliced from 3 exons. Lineage: Eukaryota; Metazoa; Chordata; Mammalia; Rodentia; Bathyergidae.
UUUAGUCAGAUCUAUGUUGGGAAUCAAGAGCAAAGAGCCCAGCAGAGUGAUUUAAAACACUGAGAGUUUGGUCAGAGAGGAAGCUCCAAUAGAGCUGUGGUCUGCCAAGAUAAUGCAGAGGAGCUCUUGCUUGCUGAGAAGGAACAGGGGAAUAGAAAAGAUGGCCUAUGGGCAUCACAGGAAGCAGCAGGAUUCCAUUAUUUCCAUCCUCAGGGUUGUAAAAGUCAAAGAGCUUGAUUUGAGAAGAAAGCCCCAGAGCGCCAGGUUCCAGGAUGGUGGUGGCCCCACCAUUGCUCCAGAAUGGCAGCAGCCUAGAGGUCUUGUUCCUCAGAAUUGGAUUCAGAGUGCUGAGCAAUCCAGGCACUCAGCCCCGACAGCUAAGAGAGAGGGGAGACUGGCUGCUACUGCUCCAGCUGGUAGCAGACCUUGGCUUCAUCUACAUGGUGCUGGUUUUAGACGCAUGCUGAAUGGAAGAGGUGUGGGAUCAGGAAGGCUUCCACCCAGAUUUCAGAAGGAGGCCUAGGAGGCCAGGCAGUGCACCCCUGAGAGCAGUGUGUGAACUGUGAUUGUGAAACCAGAGGUAUAGUGAAGACCCCAGAAGUUUGGAGAAGCCAGGAGCAUGGAUCACCUGAGGAAGGCUGCAAAGAGGGAGCAGAACUGGCCCAAGAGAGAAGCCAUGGGAGCUGCAACCACCAGAGGGGCCUGCAGCUAAGAGUUAACCUUAUAUCUCAGAGGAGACUUUGCGCUUGGACUUUUCAGCAUUGCUAAAACUAUUAGGACUUUUGGGACUCAAAAUUCUGCAAAGUAACGCCGAAUAAGAAAGCUCUGCCACGACUAUGGAAACAUUAAACUACAUCUCAACACAAGGCACAGGAUGGGCCUGAGUUGGCUGGGGUAGACUGAACUCACUGCAAAGCCUCGGGCCUGCGCGAGGUCCUGUAAUGGGUAACGUGAUGUGCCGACUUGGCUGGGCCGUGUGGCACCCAGCUGUUUGGCUGGACCCCAGUCUAGUUACUGCUGUGAGGUCAUUGUUUUCAGAUGUGCCUAACAUGUAAAU